GCAAGGGGGUCAUCCCGACUUACCAACCCGAUGCAAACUGCGAAUACCGGAGAAUGUUAUCACGGGAGACACACGGCGGGUGCUAACGUCCGUCGUGAAGAGGGAAACAACCCAGACCGCCAGCUAAGGUCCCAAAGUCAUGGUUAAGUGGGAAACGAUGUGGGAAGGCCCAGACAGCCAGGAUGUUGGCUUAGAAGCAGCCAUCAUUUAAAGAAAGCGUAAUAGCUCACUGGUCGAGUCGGCCUGCGCGGAAGAUGUAACGGGGCUAAACCAUGCAC
Molecule: ribosomal RNA, 278 nt
Filed under: Escherichia coli
Lineage: Bacteria; Pseudomonadati; Pseudomonadota; Gammaproteobacteria; Enterobacterales; Enterobacteriaceae
Description: partial 23S ribosomal RNA
Rfam family: Bacterial large subunit ribosomal RNA
Source: RNAcentral